GACAGGGGUGCCGAGCGUUAGUCGGAAUCACUGGGCUUAAAGCGUGUGUAGGCGGAUCUGUAAGUACAUUGUGAAAUCCCACGGCUCAACCGUGGAACUGCUUGGUAUACUGCGGGUCUUGAGCCACCUAGGGGCAAGUGGAACAAACGGUGGAGCGGUGAAAUGCGUAGAUAUCGUUUGGAACGCCAAUGGUGAAAACAACUUGCUGGGGGUGUGCUGACGCUGAGACACGAAAGCCAGGGGAGCAAACGGG
Molecule: ribosomal RNA, 253 nt
Filed under: uncultured bacterium
Lineage: Bacteria
Description: partial 16S ribosomal RNA
Rfam family: Bacterial small subunit ribosomal RNA
Source: RNAcentral